This 261-nucleotide ribosomal RNA is filed under the name uncultured archaeon. RNAcentral's name for it is "partial 16S ribosomal RNA". It matches the Rfam family "Archaeal small subunit ribosomal RNA", at positions 748 to 1009 of the family's 1478-position model. The record is from RNAcentral.
CAGCCGUAAACUAUGCGCGUUAGGUGUAUCGGUGGCCACGAGUUACCGAGGUGCCGAAGGGAAACCGUGAAACGUGCCGCCUGGGAAGUACGGUCGCAAGGCUGAAACUUAAAGGAAUUGGCGGGGGAGCACCACAACAGGUGGAGCCUGCGGUUUAAUUGGACUCAACGCCGGGAAGCUCACCGGAUAGGACAGCAGAAUGAUUGCCGGGCUGAAGACUCUGCAUGACUAGCUGAGAGGAGGUGCAUGGCGUAGACGUCU